GCGCCCGUAGCUCAGGCGGAUAGAGCAGUGGUUUCCUAAACCACGUGUCGGGGGUUCGAGUCCCUCCGGGCGUACCA
Molecule: transfer RNA, 77 nt
Filed under: Peptococcaceae bacterium
Lineage: Bacteria; Bacillati; Bacillota; Clostridia; Eubacteriales; Peptococcaceae
Also listed under: 1 other name
Description: tRNA-Arg
Rfam family: tRNA
About the family: Transfer RNA (tRNA) molecules are approximately 80 nucleotides in length.
Source: RNAcentral